This is a long non-coding RNA of Ictalurus punctatus (channel catfish), 500 nucleotides long. NCBI's taxonomy places the organism in Eukaryota, Metazoa, Chordata, Actinopteri, Siluriformes, Ictaluridae. The record is from Ensembl.
GAAGUAGUAGAACAGAAUCUAGUCAGGGUAGGCUUGAGUAAACAAAUACGUUUUAAGCCUAGACUUAAACACUGAGACUGUGAACUAGCGUAACUCUUCAACUAGCGUAAACUCUUCAAUUAGCGUAACUCUUCAAUUAGCGUAACUCUUCAACUAGCGUAAACUCUUCAGUUAGUGUAACUCUUCAACUAGCGUAAAUUCUUCAACUAGCGUAAACUUCAGGUAGCGUAAACUCUUCAACUAGCGUAAACUUCAGAUAGCGUAAACUCUUCAACUAGCGAAAACUCUUCAACUAGCUGUAACUCUUAAAUUAGCGUAAACUCUUCAACUAGCGUAAACUGUUCAACUAGCAUUAACUCUUCAACUAACCGUAACUCUUCAAUUAGCGUAAACUCUUCAACUAGCGAAAACUCCAACUAGCGUAAACUCUUCAACUAGCGUAAACUCUUCAACUAGCAUUAACUGUUCAACUAACGUAAACUUUUCAAUUAGCGUAAACU